ACUGCUCAGUAACACGUGGACAACUACCCUAAGGAGGGGGAUAACCCCGGGAAACUGGGGAUAAUACCCCAUAGACUAGAGAAGCUGGAAUGCUCUCAAGUCCAAAGGUCCGCCGCCUUAGGAUGGGUCUGCGGUCGAUUAGGUUGUUGUUGGGGUAACGGCCCAACAAGCCCGUGAUCGAUACGGGUUGUGAGAGCAAGAGCCCGGAGAUGGAUUCUGAGACACGAAUCCAGGCCCUACGGGGCGCAGCAGGCGCGAAAACUUUACAAUGCGGGAAACCGUGAUAAGGGAACCCCGAGUGCCCGUAAAUUCGGGCUGUCCAUCAGCGUAAAUAACUGGUGAAGAAAGGGCCGGGCAAGACCGGUGCCAGCCGCCGCGGUAAUACCGGCGGCUCGAGUGGUGGCCACUAUUAUUGGGCUUAAAGCGUCCGUAGCUUGGUUGUUAAGUCUCUUGGGAAAUCUACCGGCUCAACCGGUAGGCGUUCAGGAGAUACUGGCAAUCUAGGGACCGGGAGAGGUGAGAGGUACUCCAGGGGUAGGAGUGAAAUCCUGUAAUCCUUGGGGGACCACCUGUGGCGAAGGCGUCUCACUAGAACGGCUCCGACAGUGAGGGACGAAAGCUGGGGGAGCAAACCGGAUUAGAUACCCGGGUAGUCCCAGCUGUAAACGAUGCGCGUUAGGUGUAUCGGUGACCACGAGUCACCGAGGUGCCGAAGGGAAACCGUGAAACGUGCCGCCUGGGAAGUACGGUCGCAAGGCUGAAACUUAAAGGAAUUGGCGGGGGAGCAC
Molecule: ribosomal RNA, 788 nt
Filed under: Methanolinea sp. enrichment culture clone L35A3_21
Lineage: Archaea; Methanobacteriati; Methanobacteriota; Methanomicrobia; Methanomicrobiales; Methanoregulaceae
Description: bacterial SSU rRNA
Rfam family: Archaeal small subunit ribosomal RNA
Source: RNAcentral